GUCGAUUUCGCUUUCCUAAACUCAACCGUACUAUUUCUCUGUCUCUCUAAAUAGAGAUCCAACAACUUGGACUGUCUUCGUUACUCCUCCCCAAACCCCUAAACUCUCUUCCUCCCAUUCACAUCACCAACAAUCAUCUCUCUCCUUCGAUUCUCCGCCCAAGAAAAAAGAUUAUCCGGUAAUUCAGCCGCCGCCGGCUCAAUCUCCUCCACCCGUUCCCUCGCCACCGGUGCACUACAAUCAUAAGUCCGACGCCUCAUCAUUUGCUUUCCUUUCGUCGUUUUGCUUUUUUUUUUUUAAUUCUUUGCCCCCUUCUGCUGCCUUCUCCACUUUAUUACCCAAAAGAAGAAGAGGUCUUUCGAAUAUCUUAGUAAUUUCUACUUUGUGUAUCGUCUAAUUUGUUAUGAUACUGUUUAAUUCUUUAUUUUCUCUGUGUUUUGUCAUCCAAGAUUUUGUAUGCACUGUUCUUCCAUUCUAGUUAAUUUAUUGUGCUUUUUAAAAAUCAUUUCAGAGACAUGUUAUUCUUGUAUUGAUAUCAAUAAACGGCUGCCUGGGCCACGUUUUGGUUUCUUCCAUAAUUUCUUGACUAAUUUUUGAUGCUUUUAUCUAUUAUGAUGGACACUGGACAUCAUUUGCUUGAGUAUCAAACUGAUACAAGGGAAAUGCAGAGACACUUGGAUAGAAGGCAUAAGCUUUAUUAGUGUUAUUGAUAUAUCGUAGGCCUAGGCUAUACAAAUUUUCUUCUUUUUACUGUUAUAAUUAGGGGUGAAGAACAUCUUGAUUGUGUGUUGUUUAAAUUGUUGAACUGUUUGGACCUUAGAGUUGGAGGCAGUUGGUUGUUUAACAAGUUUUAGGUUUGAACAAUAAUGUUGGUUAUUUAGGUUGUAUUCAUAUUUUGGGAUUGUGAAUAGGACUAAUAAACAUAGUAUUUACUUGCAAUACUUUUGUAGCUUGCAAACUUGUCAACUUUGAUGGCUUUUCAUAUUCUCUAUAAACUGCAUCUGAUUGUUGUUAUAUUGCUGAAACUCUUGGUUUUUAUAGUGAUUAUUGAAUGGACAAUUAUUCCCAACCCCAGAACCCAUCAACAAUGCCAUUGUAAGUUUGGACUUAUGCAGUUAUGCUACAUGCUUGCUUGUGAUUUGAUGCUCUUGUAAUCUAGUUUGUAUAAUUAUUUGACAAAACUUGAUGGUAAACCAUGGUGAAAGAGGCUUAUUGUUGGGUUUAUGGAGGAGGAAUUUGUUGUGUUUUAUGUACUAUGUACUAGUGGUGAAGGUUGUUCAGAAUAUAUGGGCGACCAUUUAACAAGAGAAUUCCAAGCAGGCAGAUCACACAAAGUGAACGAGUGAGAAGGUACAAGGGAAAUUGAUAAUAUAGGAAAUUGAUAUUUUCAUAAGGGAAAUUGAUAUUAAGUUUAAAU
RNAcentral lists this long non-coding RNA (1417 nucleotides) under Panax ginseng (ginseng). Its description in RNAcentral is "long non-coding RNA (PGIN_LNC014867)". Lineage: Eukaryota; Viridiplantae; Streptophyta; Magnoliopsida; Apiales; Araliaceae. The record is from RNAcentral.